AAUGAAGGUUCAACUGGUGCAGCCUUUUCCACUUUGACCUCACCUAAUAUGCCCUUAAGGACAAGGUCCAAGGAGCCACAUUCUGAUAUACGUGAUUCACUGAGAGGAAUUUUCUCCCAUGCACCUUUUAAAAAGGUUACUGCGUAAUUAUUGCCUUAGGGAAGGAUUUCUGGGCAGGGAUCCCACGCAGCCUGAAGAAAAGAAAAGAAGGGAAGAAAGGAGGAAAGGGAAGGAAGUAACAAGAAAUGACAUCAAGAUUUGCUAUCCUGGCAGGAGAGAUAAGAAUUUUAGCUACUUACUGGGAACUGAUCCAGAUAGUCCAGCUGUCCAAGAGAAAUUGUGGCCAACAAACCAUCCUGAUCAAAAUAUGGUGCUGAACCUGGAGGGAAGAUGAAUAUUCAUAUCAAUGUGUUAUUUGGGAUUUUCCCCCUAAAUGAUCAAAACCAGAGUUUUUUCCAUACUGCUGUGAAUAGACGUUACAUGUGUAAAAUAUUUGAGUUUAGCUCAGAUGCAAACUUGUGCCUGAUAUAAAUGGUUUAGAACUUCCUUCUGAGGAACUGUUACAUCACUGUCCUUAUUUUCAAAAUUAGAAUAAAUUGGCUUUGAUCUGA
Molecule: long non-coding RNA, 611 nt
Organism: Pantherophis guttatus
Lineage: Eukaryota; Metazoa; Chordata; Lepidosauria; Squamata; Colubridae
Source: RefSeq, a predicted model, not a curated record